AGUGAACGCUGGCGGUAGGCCUAACACAUGCAAGUCGAACGGCAGCACAGUAAGAGCUUGCUCUUACGGGUGGCGAGUGGCGGACGGGUGAGGAAUACAUCGGAAUCUACUUUUUCGUGGGUGAUAACGUAGGGAAACUUACGCUAAUACCGCAUACGACCUACGGGUGAAAGCAGUGGAUCUUCGGACCUUGCGCGUUUGAAUGAGCCGAUGUCGGAUUAGCUAGUUGGCGGGGUAAAGGCCCACCAAGGCGACGAUCCGUAGCUGGUCUGAGAGGAUGAUCAGCAACACUGGAACUGAGACACGGUCCAGACUCAUACGGGAGGCAGCAGUGGGGAAUAUUGGACAAUGGGCGAAAGCCUGAUACAGCCAUACCGCGUGGGUGAAGAAGGACUUCGGGUUGUAAAGACCUUUUGUUGGGAAAGAAAAGAAGCAGGUUAAUACCCCGCUGUUCUGACGGUACCAAAAGAAUAAGCACCGGCUAACUUCGUG
This 492-nucleotide ribosomal RNA is filed under the name uncultured bacterium. RNAcentral's name for it is "partial 16S ribosomal RNA". It matches the Rfam family "Bacterial small subunit ribosomal RNA", at positions 29 to 507 of the family's 1533-position model. The record is from RNAcentral.